This 253-nucleotide ribosomal RNA is filed under the name uncultured bacterium. Its description in RNAcentral is "partial 16S ribosomal RNA". It matches the Rfam family "Bacterial small subunit ribosomal RNA", at positions 524 to 776 of the family's 1533-position model. The record is from RNAcentral.
UACAGAGGGUGCGAGCGUUGUCCGGAAUCACUGGGCGUAAAGGGCGCGUAGGUGGCGGCCCAAGUCCAUGGUGAAAGCUCGAUGCUCAACAUCGAGUCGGCCACGGAUACUGGGUUGCUUGAGCACUGUAGGGGCAGAUGGAAUUCCGGGUGUAGCGGUGGAAUGCGUAGGGAUCCGGAAGAACACCGGUGGCGAAGGCGGUCUGCUGGGCAGUUGCUGACACUGAGGCGCGACAGCGUGGGGAGCAAACAGG